GACGAACGCUGGCGGCGUGCCUAAUACAUGCAAGUAGAACGCACAGUUUAUACCGUAGCUUGCUACACCAUAGACUGUGAGUUGCGAACGGGUGAGUAACGCGUAGGUAACCUGCCUGGUAGCGGGGGAUAACUAUUGGACACGAUAGCUAAUACCGCAUAAUAUUAAUUAUUGCAUGAUAAUUAAUUGAAAGGUGCAAUUUCACCACUACCAGAUGGCCCUGCGUUGUAUUAGCUAGUAGGUGAGGUAACGGCUUACCUAGGCCACGAUUCAUAGGCGACCUUGGAGGGUGGUCGGGCAACAUGGGAAUGGGACACGGCCCAGACUCCUACGGGAGGCAGCAGGAGGGGAUCUUCGGCAAUGGGCGAAAGGCUGACCGAGCAACGCCGCGUGGGUGAAGAAGGUUUUCGGAUCGUAAAGCUCUGGUGUAAGGGAAGAACGGGUGUGAGAGUGGAAAGUUCACACUGUGACGGUAUCUUACCAGAAAGGGACGGCUAACUACGUG
Molecule: ribosomal RNA, 505 nt
Filed under: uncultured bacterium
Lineage: Bacteria
Description: partial 16S ribosomal RNA
Rfam family: Bacterial small subunit ribosomal RNA
Source: RNAcentral